GAAAAUUAACCCUACAUUGAUUGAAAAUUAAAAUUGCAAUACAUUUCAAAUAAAAUCCUAAAUUACUUAAAAAAACAUAAAAUAAAUUUCUAGAAUCUACGGGAGAUUGUGGCGUCGCUUGAUUUCUGCAACCUUGGCCAAGUGAAAUGUCAACUCGUCGGGAUUCAUUUGAAAGGUGUCCCAACUCAUCAACAUGCUAUGGGCGAGGUCGCGUUGAGCUUGGGAGAAUUGUCCCAUGACCUUGGCCAUCUCCUCCAUGUAUCCGAGAGCUCGAGAAUUGUUGUCGGACGUCUCCGCCUUCUUUUUCCCUUUGGCUUUGUCUCUCUUCGCUGCUUUUUGGCCUUGGGGCCUUGUGGAAAUGCUCGGCUCGCUAGAAGUCGUUGUAGCGUCACCGCCCAAGCCCUUCCAUUUUUUGGAGGCGUGGACAUCCACGGCAAUACUCGCGAAUUUUGGAGAUUCGCGCAGUAGCCUCUAUGCAUAUGGAUACUUAAAUUUUGCACCAUACUCGGCAAUGAACAUUAUUUCGGCCUGUUCUAUGAUUUAUUCAUUGCUCAUGCCGGAUGCCCAAUUCUCCCGGCACUUUUUGCAGAUGCCCUCCCACCACCUCACUUCCUCUUGGACAUGUUGGAAGUGCGAAUUGAUUUGCUUGAUGUCGCGUGGAAUGGUGCCUUGGGGCAGUUGAGCAUUAUAAUCAUCUCUGAUAGCACCCCAAUACUGAGGUCCUUUCUGGUCGGUCCCGUUGAUGGAGUUGCAUGUGUGCUCAAGAUACAAACGACAUAUGAGUAUCGUUUCAUUCGGAGAGUAGUGACUCUUUGCUUGGUGUUGGCCGGCAUAGAUGCUAUCUCCUCCACGUCCGGCUCGGCUACCACCUCAAAUCGGGCGUUCAAGUUGAUUCCUUCGAUUCCUUGCGUUUGAAAGGCAUUGGACUCUUGCGUAAAUGGCGCGAAUCCUUGGGCGGAUGCAUUGGAUUCGCCGGGAGAUGGAUUUUGGGGGCAUGUGCUCCAAAAGCUUUUCCAAUCUCCUUCCAUGAUUUUAAAAAAAAUUAAAAGAACAAGAUGAACAAAGAUAGAAAAAAUAUAGAAUGAAAGAAGAGAUAGAAGAUAGAAGAAAAGAUGCAAAAUAAAAUUGGAGACAUAUGAGUAUAUAUAGAAGAAAGAAGAAGAAUAAUAAAAAAAAAAGCAAAAAAGGCCCAACGGCCAAAACUUAACGGCACUUUUGAAUUUUUUUUAAUUAAAAAAUUCCAAAAAAAUGGCGUUUGAUAUGCACGCGCCAUCUCUUCUCUCUUCUGCGCCCAAAGCGCCCGUCUUCACCCAGCUUGCGAGCCUGAGGCGCGGCAAUGGCUGGAGGCGCGCAAUGGGGGGGCUCGAGCUCAAUUUUUGAGCCCCAUUGCGAGUGCUCUUAGUUUUUUGUUUUUUUAUUAUUGUUUCAUCAUAGCCCCCUAUCUAUGUACACAAUAUUUUUUUAGGGCCAAUUUUUUUUAUUCAUUAAAGAUUAUGUAUUUUUAUAGAAUAUAAUACAAUAUCUUUUUAUAUUUUAGCACAACAGAUGAUUAAUCAAUAUAUAAUUAUUUUUUUAUAAAAAAAACUAUAUCAAUUUACCCCGUGCAUAUGCACGGGUGGAAUACUAGUUGUUUAUAAUAAAACAAGCGGAAUAAAAUAACUUUUCUUUAACUAUACUUGUAUAAAAAGUAUUAGAAAAAAAAUGAAGAUAUUAUUUUUUAAAUUAAAAAAAAAAAGAUAAUUAUUUGUGGGUCAUAAUGACAUAUCAUGUAAAUAAUGAGUCAUGUAGGAAUAUUUAUAUAUGAAUUAAUAAAUAGUCGUAAGAGCAUCCACAUCUGGCUAACUUAUCUACCGGCUCAAGUCAACCUUAGCAAUAAUCAAUCGAUGCAGGGUGGGGUGACUCGAGGUCCAACUCAUAUGGAUGAACCUGACUCAUAAUCUUUUUAUGUGUGGCGCGUGCAUUGCACGCAUCUGGCACAAGUAGACUUGACUGAUUAGUCGACUAAUGCAACAUACAAAUGACUUAUCCCAUUUAAUUUAUAUGAGUCGACAUGAUGAGUCAAUUCAAUACGACACUCGACUCAUAAAUAAAUUCGGAGUAUGGAUGAAUCAAAUAUUGAUUCAACCAAUAUAAAUGAUUUAAAACUAUUGAAAUUGAAAUUAAUAUGAAUCACAAUAAAUACAAUAAAUUAUGAGAGAUGGGAUCGCAUGCAGUGGGGUGUAUAUUGAUUUAUUUUCGACAAACCCGUAGAACAUAUACGAGGAAAUAUAUGAAUCAAAACAAAUUCAUAAUUUUAUCUUCAAAAGAAAAGAACAAAAAAACAUAAUUUCUUCUCAACUAUCUGAUCACAGUAAUUGUUCGAGAAUUCACCAUCAACUAUCAAAUGCAGAUGAUAAUAAUACAAACAACAAAAUUCCAAAGUAGAAUUUCUUACACUAGUAAGGGAGCUUGAAGGCUGCAAGGUUGCAGCCGCCGGAGCAGGGUCAAACGAUACGGUGGCGGA
This 2503-nucleotide long non-coding RNA is filed under the name Salvia miltiorrhiza (redroot sage). RNAcentral's name for it is "long non-coding RNA (SMIL_LNC004961)". Lineage: Eukaryota; Viridiplantae; Streptophyta; Magnoliopsida; Lamiales; Lamiaceae. The record is from RNAcentral.